GGUUAAGCGACUAAGCGUACACGGUGGAUGCCCUGGCAGUCAGAGGCGAUGAAGGACGUGCUAAUCUGCGAUAAGCGUCGGUAAGGUGAUAUGAACCGUUAUAACCGGCGAUUUCCGAAUGGGGAAACCCAGUGUGAUUCGUCACACUAUCGUUAACUGAAUACAUAGGUUAACGAAG
This 178-nucleotide ribosomal RNA is filed under the name Salmonella enterica subsp. enterica serovar Kentucky str. 0253. RNAcentral describes it as "partial 23S ribosomal RNA". It matches the Rfam family "Bacterial large subunit ribosomal RNA", at positions 1 to 179 of the family's 2925-position model. Lineage: Bacteria; Pseudomonadati; Pseudomonadota; Gammaproteobacteria; Enterobacterales; Enterobacteriaceae. The record is from RNAcentral.